UACGGAGGAUGCGAGCGUUAUCCGGAUUUAUUGGGUUUAAAGGGUGCGUAGGCGGGAUGCCAAGUCAGCGGUAAAAAUGCGGAGCUCAACGCCGUCGAGCCGUUGAAACUGGCGUUCUUGAGUGGGCGAGAAGUAUGCGGAAUGCGUGGUGUAGCGGUGAAAUGCAUAGAUAUCACGCAGAACUCCGAUUGCGAAGGCAGCAUACCGGCGCCCUACUGACGCUGAGGCACGAAAGCGUGGGUAUCGAACAGG
This 252-nucleotide ribosomal RNA is filed under the name uncultured bacterium. RNAcentral describes it as "partial 16S ribosomal RNA". It matches the Rfam family "Bacterial small subunit ribosomal RNA", at positions 524 to 776 of the family's 1533-position model. The record is from RNAcentral.